AAUACUCCCUGGUGACCGAUAGCGGACUAGUACCGUGAGGGAAAGGUGAAAAGUACCCCGGGAGGGGAGUGAAAUAGUACCUGAAACCGUGCGCUUACAAUCCGUCAGAGCCGAUGCACGAUUCAGUUCGUGGUGGGUGAUGGCGUGCCUUUUGAAGAAUGAGCCUGCGAGUUAGUGGCAUGUCGCGAGGUUAACCCGUGUGGGGUAGUCGUAGCGAAAGCGAGUCCGAAUAGGGCGCAUGUAGUGGCAUGUUCUAGACCCGAAGCGGAGUGAUCUACCCAUGGCCAGGGUGAAGCGAUGGUAAGACGUCGUGGAGGCCCGAACCCACUUAGGUUGAAAACUGAGGGGAUGAGUUGUGGGUAGGGGUGAAAGGCCAAUCAAACUCCGUGAUAGCUGGUUCUCCCCGAAAUGCAUUUAGGUGCAGCGUCGCGUGUUUCUCACCGGAGGUAGAGCUACUGGAUGGUCUAGGGGGCCCACAAGCUUACCGAAAUCAGCCAAACUCCGAAUGCCGGUGAGUGAGAGCGCGGCAGUGAGACUGCGGGGGAUAAGCUUCGUAGUCGAGAGGGAAACAGCCCAGAUCGCCGGCUAAGGCCCCUAAGCGUGUACUAAGUGGAAAAGGAUGUGGGAUCGCUGAGACAACCAGGAGGUUGGCUUAGAAGCAGCCACCCUUGAAAGAGUGCGUAAUAGCUCACUGGUCAAGUGGUUCUGCGCCGACAAUGUAGCGGGGCUCAAGUACACCGCCGAAGCCGCGGCACUCACACAACACCCAUUCGUUCCUGCGGGAACGUGUGCAGUGGUGUGGGUGGGUAGGGGAGCGUCGUGCAGCCGUGGAAGCGCCGGAGUGAUCCAGGUGUGGAGGCUGCGCGAGUGAGAAUGCAGGCAUGAGUAGCGAAAGACGAGUGAGAAACUCGUCCGCCGGAUGACCAAGGGUUCCUGGGCCAGGUUAAUCCGCCCAGGGUGAGUCGGGACCUAAGGCGAGGCCGACAGGCGUAGUCGAUGGACAACGGGUUGAUAUUCCCGUACCCGUGUAUCCGCGCCCAAUGGCGAAUCAGUUGUGCUAACCGUCCAAAAGUUUCCGCUGUUCCUUCGGGAACUGUGGGGAUGGCUGCACGGGACCCUGAUUGUAGUAGUCAAGCGAUGGGGUGACGCAGGAAGGUAGCUGGGCCAGGUGAUGGAAUACCUGGUGUAAGCCGGUAGGGCGAAUGGUAGGCAAAUCCGCCAUUCAUCAAGCCUGAGAGGUGAUGCGUACCCGUUGAGGGGAAUUCAGUGAUCCUAUGCUGCCGAGAAAAGCCUCUAGUGAGUUGGUACACGGCCCGUACCCCAAACCGCACAGGUGGUCAGGUAGAGAAUACCGAGGCGAUCGAGAGAACUGUGGUUAAGGAACUCGGCAAAAUGCCCCCGUAACUUCGGGAGAAGGGGGACCACGCCCGGUGACGGCCCUUGCGGUCCGAGCUGGGGGUGGUCGCAGAGACCAGAGAGAAGCGACUGUUUACUAAAAACACAGGUCCGUGCGAAGUCGUAAGACGAUGUAUACGGACUGACGCCUGCCCGGUGCUGGAAGGUUAAGAGGACCGGUUAGCGGAGCAAUCCGCGAAGCUGAGAAUUUAAGCCCCAGUAAACGGCGGUGGUAACUAUAACCAUCCUAAGGUAGCGAAAUUCCUUGUCGGGUAAGUUCCGACCUGCACGAAUGGCGUAACGACU
RNAcentral lists this ribosomal RNA (1701 nucleotides) under Rhodococcus pyridinivorans AK37. Its description in RNAcentral is "bacterial LSU rRNA". It matches the Rfam family "Bacterial large subunit ribosomal RNA", at positions 469 to 2009 of the family's 2925-position model. The record is from RNAcentral. Lineage: Bacteria; Bacillati; Actinomycetota; Actinomycetes; Mycobacteriales; Nocardiaceae.